RNAcentral lists this small RNA (858 nucleotides) under Schizosaccharomyces pombe (fission yeast). Its description in RNAcentral is "small heterochromatic RNA precursor". Lineage: Eukaryota; Fungi; Ascomycota; Schizosaccharomycetes; Schizosaccharomycetales; Schizosaccharomycetaceae. The record is from RNAcentral.
UUUUUUUUUUUUUUUUUUUGUUUUCUCAAGAUGAUAACGGAUCUAGCUUCGCCAUCAAUAAGUAUGAGACAAAGGAGUCCAUCUUUGAUGAAACAUCCAUUUUCCUGUUGUACAUUUUUGCAGGACAACUAGCCUGAGCACAAGAGACAUGGUGUACUAGACCUUGUGCGGAAUGUCUACUUCAAAACUUGCAUCUUUAUAUCUGAUAUAUAGAGAUAUAGAGAUAUAGAGAUAUAGAGAGAGGCUGAUGAUUUAUAAACACAAACGAUAAGACUUGUAACAUGAAGUUUAUCGAAAAAGUCAAUCUUUAAAUUCCUUUCUGAACCUCUCUGUUAUGUCAGUGCUUCGGUACCAUGCUUUUAGUGCGGUCAUUUAAAGGCAUAGCGAUGAUAGUUCUAAAGUUACUGUAUUGAUCAAUUGGAAGAACAUCCAAAUAAAAAAAGGCAUGCAAAAUGCUAGUAUUAUCAGUAACUGCAAAUAAAAAAAGAUAACAAAAAUUUACAGGAUCAUCGAGAAGAGUAGAUACUGAUAAUAUUGAGAUCCACAGCACUCAACAACAGUCUUGGAUUUAUUUAGCCAUUUGCUUAACUUACUGUCUCAACAAUAUUGUUGCUUGGCAUCGCCUUAAAUAUAUGACCUAANAAGUAAAAAUUCCCGNUGUCGAAAACAAUUCCCANUCCGNUUCACUUUUUCCUCUUUCCAAANCAUAUNCCGCAAUNANGAAAUGCCUNGUACCUCCCCNACNUGGCGGAUGGAAAAAAGCUUCUUUNANCCCNNNUUUUAACUAUCCNGGGUGGCUNGCGNGCAAAAACACNACGCAAANNACGNAUCCCACNCUNUGGANCAAAACUUCCGCNC